GUUGGCUUUCCCCAGUGUUUCAAAGCAACCACAGCAGACCAUCUCUCCAGCAAAGGCUCAGCUCUGCCAGCAGGGACCCCCAAUAUGAAAGGGAACGUGGGGCUUACAGGGACCCUUCCACCUCCAACAAGGGAACUGGGGCUGAGGGAUGUUGGGAAAGACCGGGAACCAACCUUCAGCCCUGUACCCAGCUCUGCAGGCUCCUGCUCUGCGCUCAGCAUGCUCCUCCCUGGUGGACCCCGGCCCUCUGAGGAAUCGCUCUGGAGCUCGAGGCCAGCCUACAGGGAGAGGUGAUACGGCUGUGCCGCUGCCUCCUCUUGUGCCAGGGCUCCUCCCACUGGUCUCCCAUCCCUGGUAGGAAAUGGAGUCAAAGGUCUCCGAAGGCGGCCUGAACGUCACCCUCACCAUCCGGCUGCUGAUGCACGGCAAGGUAAAGGCUCCUGGCAGGGCUACACCCCUCUCCCUUUCCUGCUUGGGUUAUAUUCAUGUCUUGCAACAUCAUUUAUU
This 507-nucleotide long non-coding RNA is filed under the name Phasianus colchicus (ring-necked pheasant). RNAcentral describes it as "lncRNA (ENSPCLG00000015357.1)". The record is from RNAcentral. Lineage: Eukaryota; Metazoa; Chordata; Aves; Galliformes; Phasianidae.